GACAGUUCUCAGGUGACGCACCCCAGAAUCGGGUGCCUUCCUCUCUGGUGCCAGGUGCAUCACCCGAGAACCACA
Molecule: non-coding RNA, 75 nt
Organism: Myotis brandtii (Brandt's bat)
Lineage: Eukaryota; Metazoa; Chordata; Mammalia; Chiroptera; Vespertilionidae
Source: Rfam